Molecule: ribosomal RNA, 497 nt
Filed under: uncultured bacterium
Lineage: Bacteria
Description: partial 16S ribosomal RNA
Rfam family: Bacterial small subunit ribosomal RNA
Source: RNAcentral
GAUGAACGCUGGCGGCGUGCCUAAUACAUGCGAGUCGAGCGAACGGACGAGAAGCUUGCUUCUCUGAUGUUAGCGGCGGACGGGUGAGUAACACGUGGAUAACCUACCUAUAAGACUGGGAUAACUUCGGGAAACCGUAGCUAAUACCGGAUAAUAUUUUGAACCGCAUGGUUCAAAAGUGAAAGACGGUCUUGCUGUCACUUAGAGAUGGAUCCGCGCUGCAUUAGCUAGUUGGUAAGGUAACGGCUUACCAAGGCAACGAUGCAUAGCCGACCUGAGAGGGUGAUCGCCCACACUGGAACCGAGACAAGGUCCUGACUCCUACGGGAGGAAGCAGUAGGGAAUCUUCCGCAAUGGGCGAAAGCCUGACGGAGCAACGCCGCGUGAGUGAUGAAGGUCUUCGGAUCGUAAAACUCUGUUAUUAGGGAAGAACAUAUGUGUAAGUAACUGUGCACAUCUUGACGGUACCUAAUCAGAAAGCCACGGCUAACUACGUG